GUCCACGCCGUAAACUAUGCAUACAAGCUGUAGUGGAAUUUUAUUCUGCUGUGGCGAAGCUAACGCAAUUAGUAUGCCGCCUGGGGAGUACGGUCGCAAGACUAAAACUCAAAGGAAUUGACGGGGGCCCGCACAAGCGGUGGAUUAUGUGGUUUAAUUCGAAGCAACGCGCAGAACCUUACCUAGGUUUGACAUCCCUUGACAAUCAUAGAAAUAUGACUUUGUAGCAAUACACAAGGAGACAGGUGCUGCAUGGCUGUCGU
RNAcentral lists this ribosomal RNA (263 nucleotides) under uncultured bacterium. RNAcentral describes it as "partial 16S ribosomal RNA". It matches the Rfam family "Bacterial small subunit ribosomal RNA", at positions 793 to 1055 of the family's 1533-position model. The record is from RNAcentral.